RNAcentral lists this ribosomal RNA (253 nucleotides) under uncultured bacterium. RNAcentral's name for it is "partial 16S ribosomal RNA". It matches the Rfam family "Bacterial small subunit ribosomal RNA", at positions 524 to 776 of the family's 1533-position model. The record is from RNAcentral.
UACGUAGGGUGCGAGCGUUGUCCGGAAUUAUUGGGCGUAAAGAGCGUGUAGGCGGCCAGGUAGGUCCGCUGUGAAAACUCGAGGCUCAACCUCGAGAUGUCGGCGGAAACCAUCUGGCUAGAGUCCGGAAGAGGAGAGUGGAAUUCCUGGUGUAGCGGUGAAAUGCGCAGAUAUCAGGAAGAACACCCGUGGCGAAGGCGGCUCUCUGGGACGGUACUGACGCUGAGACGCGAAAGCGUGGGGAGCAAACAGG